This 96-nucleotide transfer RNA is filed under the name Nitrososphaeria archaeon. Its description in RNAcentral is "tRNA-Met". It matches the Rfam family "tRNA". Rfam says of the family: Transfer RNA (tRNA) molecules are approximately 80 nucleotides in length. Their secondary structure includes four short double-helical elements and three loops (D, anti-codon, and T loops). Lineage: Archaea; Thermoproteati; Nitrososphaerota; Nitrososphaeria. The record is from RNAcentral.
GGGCCCGUAGCUCAGCCUGGCGGAGCGCCCGGCUCAUAACCGGGUGGUCCUGGGUUCAAUCGGCCGAAGAGGCCGGAACAGAUCCCAGCGGGCCCA